Molecule: transfer RNA, 75 nt
Filed under: Candidatus Aenigmatarchaeota archaeon
Lineage: Archaea; Nanobdellati; Candidatus Aenigmatarchaeota
Description: tRNA-Glu
Rfam family: tRNA
About the family: Transfer RNA (tRNA) molecules are approximately 80 nucleotides in length. Their secondary structure includes four short double-helical elements and three loops (D, anti-codon, and T loops). Further hydrogen bonds mediate the characteristic L-shaped molecular structure. tRNAs have two regions of fundamental functional importance: the anti-codon, which is responsible for specific mRNA codon recognition, and the 3' end, to which the tRNAs corresponding amino acid is attached (by aminoacyl-tRNA synthetases). tRNAs cope with the degeneracy of the genetic code in two manners: having more than one tRNA (with a specific anti-codon) for a particular amino acid; and 'wobble' base-pairing, i.e. permitting non-standard base-pairing at the 3rd anti-codon position.
Source: RNAcentral
GGCGCAUUCGUCUAGGGGUUAGGACGCCAGGUUCUCAGCUUGGUAACACGGGUUCGACUCCCGUAUGCGCUACCA